RNAcentral lists this ribosomal RNA (365 nucleotides) under uncultured bacterium. RNAcentral describes it as "bacterial SSU rRNA". It matches the Rfam family "Bacterial small subunit ribosomal RNA", at positions 338 to 719 of the family's 1533-position model. The record is from RNAcentral.
CCUACGGGAGGCAGCAGUGGGGAAGUCUUGCGCAAUGGGCGAAAGCCUGACGCAGCCAUGCCGCGUGAAUGAUGAAGGUCUUAGGAUUGUAAAAUUCUUUCAGUAGGGACGAUAAUGAUGGUACCUACAGAAGAAGCCCCGGCUAACUUCGUGCCAGCAGCCGCGGUAAUACGAAGGGGGCUAGCGUUGCUCGGAAUUACUGGGCGUAAAGGGAGCGUAGGCGGGUUAUCAAGUUGGAGGUGAAAGCCCAGGGCUCAACCUUGGAAUUGCCUUCAAAACUGAUAGCCUAGAGUAUGAUAGAGGUAUGUGGAACUCCGAGUGUAGAGGUGAAAUUCGUAGAUAUUCGGAAGAACACCAGUGGNGAG